Molecule: long non-coding RNA, 1220 nt
Organism: Hibiscus syriacus
Lineage: Eukaryota; Viridiplantae; Streptophyta; Magnoliopsida; Malvales; Malvaceae
Exons: 4
Source: RefSeq, a predicted model, not a curated record
UUUGAUAUUUUCAAAUUUCUUUUUCUUUGAAAGAGAUGUUUUCAAAUUUCAAUUAGUGAUAUUAUGCUUUACUCGAUUUCUGAUAUACCAAAAACGGGUUGAAUUAAAGAAAAAUGUGCAUAUGUUCAUAUUGUAUAUGUAAUAAUGUAUUGGUAUUGAACACUAGAUAAAUUGAUCAUGUAAGUUUGCUUAUUAUAUUGUAAUCUUCAUGCAAUUGUGCUUAUUGUCUAUGCAUUGGCAAGGACAGGUGUUUAUAGGAAUUUAUUUAACUUGCUGGCAAUUGGCCCGCUUCUACACUUUCUUACAGUGUAUGGGUCUUUCUGUUAUCCAAAAAUGCAAUCCUAAUGCUACACUGCUUGCACAUGAAAUCACUAUGCGUCGCAUUGGAAAAGGGAACUUUAUAGUAAUAACGUAUCUGGGAUAAUCCUAUAGGAGGUGGGGAAUUUGACGGAAUUGGUGACCUUGGUGAGGACGUCAAGAAUUUGAGUGGGUGGGACUUGGGAAUGUGAAGCCCGUCCCUUAUUUGAUGUGAGUUGGAUGGAACAAUUCCAGUGUCCUUAACUGUUAUCGACACACUACAAGUUCUGUGAGUGUUGCUGAUAGAAUUCUUCUCCUCAUUGGUUGUCUAAGUUUGGGGACAAGAACAGUUCUAAUGGAGUUGGAUGUUAUAUCAUGUGUUGUGUAAGGAUCUUUCAAAUAAUCAUCUAACAGGAGAUGUUCCAGUUAAUGGUUCCUUUUCGCUAUUCACUCAUACCAGGUUUCUCUUAUGUUAUAUCACUUUGUUCCCACCCUCACUCACAACUCCCGACCCACCACCUUCUUGUUCCCAUUUUUCAUAUUUAAGAUUGUCAUGCCAGUCUCUUGAUUUGCUACAUCUUUUGUUGUUUUACAGUUUUGCUUAUAAUCGACUCAAUAAUCCUACACCUGUUCCACCAUCUCCUAUCCCACCUACACAUCCAGCUCAAUCAGGUAUUACUUCCACUGAUGUUAUUGCUGGAGGAGUUGCUGCUAGUGCUACCCUGCUGUUUACAGCUCCUGCAAUUUGAUUCUUAGUUGUACGUAGCAAGAAGUUGGGAAAGAUUGCUAUUGGAUAUUAGAGUUAUAAGUGGGAGCGUGAAGAUACACAUGCAACUAGUUUGCUUUUCUGUUUAUAGUAUAUGGUAACACAUAUGUAUACAUUUGUAUGUAUUUUGUAUAUUAAUGUUUUCCACCCUUUUAGU